AUGCUACUUUCACAGCACAUAUACUAAAAUUGGAAUGAUGCACAGAAGAUUAACAUAGCACCUGAACAAGGACAAAAUACAAACUCUUUUUUUUUUUUU
RNAcentral lists this small nuclear RNA (99 nucleotides) under Chinchilla lanigera (long-tailed chinchilla). The record is from RNAcentral. Lineage: Eukaryota; Metazoa; Chordata; Mammalia; Rodentia; Chinchillidae.